GAUGAACGCUGGCGGCGUGCCUAAUACAUGCUAGUCGAGCGAACAGACGAGGAGCUUGCUCCUCUGACGUUAGCGGCGGACGGGUGAGUAACACGUGGAUAACCUACCUAUAAGACUGGGAUAACUUCGGGAAACCGGAGCUAAUACCGGAUAAUAUAUUGAACCGCAUGGUUCAAUAGUGAAAGACGGUUUUGCUGUCACUUAUAGAUGGAUCCGCGCCGCAUUAGCUAGUUGGUAAGGUAACGGCUUACCAAGGCAACGAUGCGUAGCCGACCUGAGAGGGUGAUCGGCCACACUGGAACUGAGACACGGUCCAGACUCCUACGGGAGGCAGCAGUAGGGAAUCUUCCGCAAUGGGCGAAAGCUUGACGGAGCAACGCCGCGUGAGUGAUGAAGGUCUUCGGAUCGUAAAACUCUGUUAUUAGGGAAGAACAAAUGUGUAAGUAACUAUGCACGUCUUGACGGUACCUAAUCAGAAAGCCACGGCUAACUACGUG
This 497-nucleotide ribosomal RNA is filed under the name uncultured bacterium. Its description in RNAcentral is "partial 16S ribosomal RNA". It matches the Rfam family "Bacterial small subunit ribosomal RNA", at positions 28 to 507 of the family's 1533-position model. The record is from RNAcentral.